UAAGACCAAAGGGUGACUCGA
RNAcentral lists this non-coding RNA (21 nucleotides) under Arabidopsis thaliana (thale cress). Lineage: Eukaryota; Viridiplantae; Streptophyta; Magnoliopsida; Brassicales; Brassicaceae. The record is from RNAcentral.